This 483-nucleotide ribosomal RNA is filed under the name uncultured bacterium. RNAcentral describes it as "bacterial SSU rRNA". It matches the Rfam family "Bacterial small subunit ribosomal RNA", at positions 30 to 507 of the family's 1533-position model. The record is from RNAcentral.
UUGAACGCUGGCAGCAGGCCUAACACAUGCAAGUCGAGCGGUAGAGAGGUGCUUGCAUCUCUUGAGAGCGGCGGACGGGUGAGUAAUGCCUAGGAAUCUGCCUAGUGGUGGGGGAUAACGUUCGGAAACGGACGCUAAUACCGCAUACGUCCUACGGGAGAAAGCGGGGGAUCUUCGGACCUCGCGCCAUUAGAUGAGCCUAGGUCGGAUUAGCUAGUUGGUGAGGUAAUGGCUCACCAAGGCGACGAUCCGUAACUGGUCUGAGAGGAUGAUCAGUCACACUGGAACUGAGACACGGUCCAGACUCCUACGGGAGGCAGCAGUGGGGAAUUUUGGACAAUGGGCGCAAGCCUGAUCCAGCAAUGCCGCGUGCAGGAUGAAGGCCUUCGGGUUGUAAACUGCUUUUGUACGGAACGAAACGGUGAGCUCUAAUACAGUUUGCUAAUGACGGUACCGUAAGAAUAAGCACCGGCUAACUACGUG